RNAcentral lists this ribosomal RNA (558 nucleotides) under uncultured fungus. RNAcentral describes it as "eukaryotic LSU rRNA". It matches the Rfam family "Eukaryotic large subunit ribosomal RNA", at positions 78 to 649 of the family's 3401-position model. Lineage: Eukaryota; Fungi. The record is from RNAcentral.
CCUCAGUAACGGCGAGUGAAGCGGUAAUAGCUCAAAUUUGAANUCUGGCUCUUUUAGGGUNCGAGUUGUAAUUUGUAGAGGAUGUUUCGGGCACGGCUACGGUUUAAAUUUCUUGGAACAGAAUGUCAUAGAGGGUGAGAGUCCCGUCUUGAACCGAUUGCUUCGUCCAUGUGAAACUCCUUCGACGAGUCGAGUUGUUUGGGAAUGCAGCUCAAAAUGGGUGGUAAAUUUCAUCUAAAGCUAAAUAUUGGCCAGAGACCGAUAGCGCACAAGUAGAGUGAUCGAAAGAUGAAAAGCACUUUGAAAAGAGAGUUAAACAGUAUGUGAAAUUGUUGAAAGGGAAGCGCUUGUAAUCAGACUUGAGCUCAACAGUUCCCCCUUCGUUCUCGUUGGGUUAUUCUGUUUUGUCCAGGCCAACAUCAGUUCGGGUGGUUGGUUAGAGACUUUGGGAAUGUAUCUACCCUCCGGGGUCGACUUAUAGCCUAGAGUGUCAUGCAGCCUACCUGGACUGAGGAACGCGCUUCGGCUCGGAUGUUGGCGUAAUGGUUAUAAGCGACC